GACGAACGCUGGCGGCGUGCUUAACACAUGCAAGUCGUACGGUAAGGCCCUUUCGGGGUACACGCGUGGCGAACGGGUGAGUAACACGUGAGUAACCUGCCCACAACUUUGGGAUAACGCUAGGAAACUGGUGCUAAUACUGGAUAUGUGCUCCUGCUGCAUGGUGGGGGUUGGAAAGCUCCGGCGGUUGUGGAUGGACUCGCGGCCUAUCAGCUUGUUGGUGGGGUAGUGGCCUACCAAGGCGGCGACGGGUAGCCGGCCUGAGAGGGUGACCGGCCACAUUGGGACUGAGAUACGGCCCAGACUCCUACGGGAGGCAGCAGUGGGGAAUAUUGCACAAUGGGCGCAAGCCUGAUGCAGCAACGCCGCGUGCGGGAUGACGGCCUUCGGGUUGUAAACCGCUUUCAGCAGGGACGAAGCUUUUUGUGACGGUACCUGCAGAAGAAGCACCGGCUAACUACGUG
RNAcentral lists this ribosomal RNA (464 nucleotides) under uncultured bacterium. RNAcentral describes it as "partial 16S ribosomal RNA". It matches the Rfam family "Bacterial small subunit ribosomal RNA", at positions 28 to 507 of the family's 1533-position model. The record is from RNAcentral.